UGGGGAAUAUUGCACAAUGGGCGCAAGCCUGAUGCAGCCAUGCCGCGUGUGUGAAGAAGGCCUCGGGUUGUAAAGCACUUUGUCCGGAAAGAAAUCCUUGGCUCUAAUACAGUCAGGGGAUGACGGUACCGGAAGAAUAAGCACCGGCUAACUACGUGCCAGCAGCCGCGGUAAUACGUAGGGUGCAAGCGUUAAUCGGAAUUACUGGGCGUAAAGCGUGCGCAGGCGGUUUGCUAAGACCGAUGUGAAAUCCCCGGGCUCAACCUGGGAACUGCAUUGGUGACUGGCAGGCUAGAGUAUGGCAGAGGGGGGCUAGAAUUCCACGUGUAGCAGUGAAAUGCGUAGAGAUGUGGAGGAAUACCGAUGGCGAAGGCAGACCCCCUGGGCCAAUACUGACGCUCAUGCACGAAAGCGUGGGGAGCAAACAGGAUUAGAUACCCUGGUAGUCCACGCCCUAAACGAUGUCAACUAAGUUGUUGGGGAUUCAUUUCCUUAGUAACGUAGCUAACGCGUGAAGUUGACCGCCUGGGGAGUACGGUCGCAAGAUUAAAACUCAAA
This 558-nucleotide ribosomal RNA is filed under the name uncultured bacterium. RNAcentral describes it as "partial 16S ribosomal RNA". It matches the Rfam family "Bacterial small subunit ribosomal RNA", at positions 355 to 905 of the family's 1533-position model. The record is from RNAcentral.